UUUUUCUUUAUUUUACUAUUUUCUACAUUGUAGAAUAAUACAGAAGACAUCCCAACUAUGCAAUAACACAUAUGGAAUCAUGUAGUAACCAAAAUAUUUGUUAUAUUUGAGAUUCUUCAAAGUAGCCCCCUUUACCUGGAUGACAUAUUUACACACUCUUGGCAUUCUCUCCACCAGCUUCAUGAGGUAGUCACCUGAAAUGCAUUUCAAUUAACAGGUGUGCAUUUUCAAAAGUUCAUUUGUGGAAUUUCUUUCCUUCUUAAUGUGUUUGAACCAAUCAGUUGUGUUGUGACAAGGUAGGGGUGGUAUAUAGAAGAUAGCUCUAUUUGGUAAAAUACCAAGUCCAAAUUAUGGCAUGAACAGCUAAAAUAAUUAUUUUUGAAGUAGUGGAUAUGUUCAGUAGUGAAAACGAUUGCAGUUAAGAUCAAUAACAUGUGUGCGCGCUCUGAAACGAUUGACUGCGAUCAUCAUGCGCGAGAGGCUAACCAACUACCAAUGAACUAUCUAGCCAGCUAAUGUGCUCCUAUACAAACCGACAGUCCAGGUGUCAAUAUCUGAUAUUUUCAGCAUGACAUGGUUAACGUUAGCUAGCUAAAAUGACUGUUGCGUUAUUCCGCCUCAUCGGGUGAUGAACUGGGCUUGAUGGAUCACAAAAUGGAGCAAAGACCUCCUGCUGACGUUACCGAUGGCAUAGACAUCGCGGAAUGGGGUGAUCGGAAAGCUCAACACACAGAAGCUGUUGUCCUAAUAAAGAGUACAUCUUCCAGGAGAAGUGGUCGACAGCACACAGAACAUUUGAUCAGGACGAGGCCUGGAAAACCAAAGCCCAGGGCGAUGGUUUCAUGGGCUCUCUCAGGACCUUGUGGGCCCAGGCUCGUUGAAAUAUCAGCUCAACUCAGACAUGGACUCUGGCUGUGGGACAGAAAAAACAGACACUGCAACCCACUCAAGACUCUGCAGAACCACCCAGUGCCCAGCCAGCCUUCCCACCUGUCACCACCAUGGCUCCCCAGAUACCAUUCUCCAGUCUGUUUCCAGGUUGAGGAGAGGCUGACAGAGUGUUUGACCCUGCUGGGAGGGAACAGCUUGCUGAGGUCCCUGCUCAUCCGUCAUGUCCUGUCUGAGAUCAACCGGCUAGCAGAGCACGUCUUGAUCACCUGCCAGGGGGAGAGCAGUGAGGGGUCUGUCCAGGUUGACGUGUCCCAGUAUGAAAACUCCUCCUACCUGGUCUGACUCCUGGAGUAGCUCCUACAUGGACCUCCAGGGGCCGCAGUGGGGCCAGGACACCAAUGGACGUAGGAGCAGAGGGCCCUGCUGGGCAGCCUGGAACACAGCGUCCUUCUCCUGUCUGACUUCCCCUGUUUAGCCUACAUGUGGAGGAUAGGGGCUCUCCUCGCCCCCUCUGUUCCAGGAACGAGCAUGGCGCCACCACGGCCACACAGGCGUGUAAUUCCACCUCCAGGAUGUUUCCACUUCAAAGGGCUGCAGAAGUUGGUGCAGAUACAGUCAAUUUGACUGACAUGACAGGAUUGAAGAGACAGGACUUAACAAACUGGAGGAGGUGGUGGGAGGUGCGUUAUUCAUUGAGGUUGGCUACCUCUUCAGAAGAAUAAUCUAUAAAUAGUAUGGCACUAAACCAAAGCCUGUCAUUAUUCUUGUUGGGAAAAGUGUGGCAAUUAAACAAUAAGACCCGAGGGGGUGUGGUACAGUAUAUGGCCAAUACACCACGGCUAAGGGCUGUUCUUAAGCACAACUCAACACGGAGUGCCUGGACACAGCCCUUAGCCGUGGGGGUUUGUGAUAUCAGGGCGGCAGGGUAGCUUUCAGCCACUCAGCAUUCAGGGCUCGAACCACAGUUUAUAAUGUGAAAUAGACUAUUGUGGCUGGCAUUAGAAUUACAAUGGAAAGCAUUGCAUUUUUUAUGAGAAUUAUAUAUUUUUUAUUUACAGACUGUGUGAAUGUAGAAUGGAUAUACUGAGUGCUGUAUGAGCAGGAAUAUCUUACUGUAAAGAAGGUAUGUCCGGAAAGUUUUUAGGCAUUUACAUUUUCAUUUGUUGAUUCUAUUAGCAAGAUGUAGUGAAGCAAUUUUACAAAUGGAUUUGAAAAUAAAUAAAAUCCAAAAUGUUCAUAUUCCAGAUUGUAUCCUUGAUUCAAGUCCAUGUAAAUAUUUAGUUACUGGACUUUGAUAUAAGUGUUUAUAGAAAUAUGUACUGAUAUUUAAGACAUGAUUGUAUAGAGAUUGUCAGUGACAUUAGAGUCUGACUUGUUGUAGUGUUCUAUAGAAGGGAUACAGUAAGUCUGACUUGUUGUAGUGUUCUAUAGGAGGGAUACAGUAAGUCUGACUUGUUGUAGUGUUCUAUAGGAGGGAUACAGUAAGUCUGAUUUACUGCCAUGUUCUAUAGCAGCGAUGGCUGUGUCCUAACAGACUGAACAGGUUAUAUUAGUGCUGCAUGACCCUCCCCAGUUUGUUAUCCUCUUCUAAAUAGCUGUGGACGGGAGGUGAGGCAGACUGCCUGUGAUGACUGCCAGCUCUGCUAUGUUUGCCCCGGCUGUAACCCAGU
Molecule: long non-coding RNA, 2561 nt
Organism: Oncorhynchus tshawytscha (Chinook salmon)
Lineage: Eukaryota; Metazoa; Chordata; Actinopteri; Salmoniformes; Salmonidae
Source: Ensembl